This 322-nucleotide unclassified non-coding RNA is filed under the name uncultured Ceratobasidiaceae. RNAcentral describes it as "sequence contains ITS2". Lineage: Eukaryota; Fungi; Basidiomycota; Agaricomycetes; Cantharellales; Ceratobasidiaceae. The record is from RNAcentral.
AACGCACCUUGCGCUCCUUGGUAUUCCUUGGAGCAUGCCUGUUUGAGUAUCAUGAAAUCUUCAAAGUAAAAUCUUUUGUUCACUCAAUUGGUUUGACUUUGGUAUUGGAGGUUUUGCAGCUUCACACCUGCUCCUCUUUGUGCAUUAGCUGGAUCUCAGUGUUAUGCUUGGUUCCACUCAGCGUGAUAAAUUAUCUAUCGUUGAGGACACUGUAAAAAGGUGGCCAAGGUAAAUGCAGAUGAACCGCUUCUAAUAGUCCAUUGACUUGGACAAUAUUUUUUGAUCUGAUCUCAAAUCAGGUAGGACUACCCGCUGAACUUAA